RNAcentral lists this ribosomal RNA (473 nucleotides) under Rhodotorula dairenensis. RNAcentral describes it as "partial large subunit ribosomal RNA". It matches the Rfam family "Eukaryotic large subunit ribosomal RNA", at positions 114 to 601 of the family's 3401-position model. Lineage: Eukaryota; Fungi; Basidiomycota; Microbotryomycetes; Sporidiobolales; Sporidiobolaceae. The record is from RNAcentral.
UUUAUAAUCUGGCACCUUCGGUGUCCGAGUUGUAAUCUCUAGAAAUGUUUUCCGCGCUGGACCGCACACAAGUCUGUUGGAAUACAGCGGCAUAGUGGUGAGACCCCCGUAUAUGGUGCGGAUGCCCAGCGCUUUGUGAUACAUUUUCGAAGAGUCGAGUUGUUUGGGAAUGCAGCUCAAAUUGGGUGGUAAAUUCCAUCUAAAGCUAAAUAUUGGCGAGAGACCGAUAGCGAACAAGUACCGUGAGGGAAAGAUGAAAAGCACUUUGGAAAGAGAGUUAACAGUACGUGAAAUUGUUGGAAGGGAAACGCUUGAAGUCAGACUUGCUUGCCGAGCAAUCGGUUUGCAGGCCAGCAUCAGUUUUCCGGGAUGGAUAAUGGUAGAGAGAAGGUAGCAGUUUCGGCUGUGUUAUAGCUCUCUACUGGAUACAUCUUGGGGGACUGAGGAACGCAGUGUGCCUUACGGCGGGGGUU